Long non-coding RNA from Nylanderia fulva, 304 nucleotides. RefSeq lists it as uncharacterized. The record is from RefSeq and is a predicted model, not a curated record. Lineage: Eukaryota; Metazoa; Arthropoda; Insecta; Hymenoptera; Formicidae.
AUUUCCUGUCUUUUUGCGCCAAGCCACGUUACGUGUGAACGAGAGACCGAGUGAGAUUAAGGUAUUGAAAGUUUGCAACGCUCAUUUUCUACAGUAAAUGUGACAUAUACUAUAGAAAAUGAGCGUUGCAAAAGUUUAGUGGAACGUGCCUUAAGUGCAUUGCACUUGUACAUUUGGAUUUUCAUGUUCUUCAGUCAUAAAAAUGGAUCUCGCCGAUACGAUCGAGGGAUUAUUUAUGCCUUUUAUAUUAAUAUAGACGAAAUUACUGGUGAUAAACCUAAACAUCCAAAAGCUCAAGCCAUGA